GACGAACGCUGGCGGCGUGCUUAACACAUGCAAGUCGAACGGAAAGGCCCUGCUUGCAGGGUACUCGAGUGGCGAACGGGUGAGUAACACUUGGGUGAUCUGCCCUGCACUUCGGGAUAAGCCUGGGAAACUGGGUCUAAUACCGGAUAGGAGCCAUUUUUAGUGUGAUGGUUGGAAAGUUUUUUCGGUGUAGAAUGAGCUCGCGGCCUAUCAGCUUGUUGGUGGGGUAAUGGCCUACCAAGGCGGCGACGGGUAGCCGGCCUGAGAGGGUGGACGGCCACAUUGGGACUGAGAUACGGCCCAGACUCCUACGGGAGGCAGCAGUGGGGAAUAUUGCACAAUGGGCGCAAGCCUGAUGCAGCGACGCCGCGUGGGGGAUGACGGCCUUCGGGUUGUAAACUCCUUUCGCUAGGGACGAAGCUUUUGUGACGGUACCUAGAGAAGAAGCACCGGCUAACUACGUG
RNAcentral lists this ribosomal RNA (464 nucleotides) under uncultured bacterium. RNAcentral describes it as "partial 16S ribosomal RNA". It matches the Rfam family "Bacterial small subunit ribosomal RNA", at positions 28 to 507 of the family's 1533-position model. The record is from RNAcentral.